RNAcentral lists this ribosomal RNA (301 nucleotides) under uncultured bacterium. Its description in RNAcentral is "partial 16S ribosomal RNA". It matches the Rfam family "Bacterial small subunit ribosomal RNA", at positions 509 to 807 of the family's 1533-position model. The record is from RNAcentral.
CAGCAGCCGCGGGAAUACGAAGGGUGCAAGCGUUACUCGGAAUUACUGGGCGUAAAGCGUGCGUAGGUGGUGGUUUAAGUCUGCUGUGAAAGCCCUGGGCUCAACCUGGGAAUUGCAGUGGAUACUGGGUCACUAGAGUGCGGUAGAGGGUAGUGGAAUUUCCGGUGUAGCAGUGAAAUGCGUAGAGAUCGGAAGGAACAUCUGUGGCGAAGGCGACUACCUGGGCCAGCACUGACACUGAGGCACGAAAGCGUGGGGAGCAAACAGGAUUAGAUACCCCCGUAGUCCCUGUCUCUUAUAC